AUACUUACCUGAAUGGUGUCAAUGGAUGAUCAAGAAGGCUCAUGGCCUAGGGUAGUGACCUUCAUUGCACACAAAGGAGCGGUGCUAGCCUAAGGUCUAUCCAUGUGGUGGAUCCUACAUCAUAAUUUGUGGUUGUGGGGGCCAGCGUUCGCGCGCCCCUU
RNAcentral lists this small nuclear RNA (161 nucleotides) under Cicer arietinum (chickpea). RNAcentral describes it as "U1 spliceosomal RNA". It matches the Rfam family "U1 spliceosomal RNA". Rfam says of the family: U1 is a small nuclear RNA (snRNA) component of the spliceosome (involved in pre-mRNA splicing). Its 5' end forms complementary base pairs with the 5' splice junction, thus defining the 5' donor site of an intron. Lineage: Eukaryota; Viridiplantae; Streptophyta; Magnoliopsida; Fabales; Fabaceae. The record is from Rfam by way of RNAcentral.